AACAGUGUGGCAUAGUGGUUUCAGUGCUGGACUAUGACUCUGGAGACCAGGGUUCAAGUCCUGCUCAGCCA
This 71-nucleotide transfer RNA is filed under the name Phrynosoma platyrhinos (Desert horned lizard). RNAcentral describes it as "tRNA-OTHER". The record is from RNAcentral. Lineage: Eukaryota; Metazoa; Chordata; Lepidosauria; Squamata; Phrynosomatidae.